RNAcentral lists this ribosomal RNA (1435 nucleotides) under uncultured organism. RNAcentral describes it as "16S ribosomal RNA". It matches the Rfam family "Bacterial small subunit ribosomal RNA". The record is from RNAcentral.
GCUUAACACAUGCAAGUCGAGGGGCAGCAUGGUCUUAGCUUGCUAAGGCCGAUGGCGACCGGCGCACGGGUGAGUAACACGUAUCCAACCUGCCGUCUACUCUUGGACAGCCUUCUGAAAGGAAGAUUAAUACAAGAUGGCAUCAUGAGUCCGCAUGUUCACAUGAUUAAAGGUAUUCCGGUAGACGAUGGGGAUGCGUUCCAUUAGAUAGUAGGCGGGGUAACGGCCCACCUAGUCUUCGAUGGAUAGGGGUUCUGAGAGGAAGGUCCCCCACAUUGGAACUGAGACACGGUCCAAACUCCUACGGGAGGCAGCAGUGAGGAAUAUUGGUCAAUGGGCGAGGGCCUGAACCAGCCAAGUAGCGUGAAGGAUGACUGCCUUAUGGGUUGUAAACUUCUUUUAUAAAGGAAUAAAGUCGGGUAUGGAUACCCGUUUGCAUGUACUUUAUGAAUAAGGAUCGGCUAACUCCGUGCCAGCAGCCGCGGUAAUACGGAGGAUUCGAGCGUUAUCCGGAUUUAUUGGGUUUAAAGGGAGCGUAGAUGGAUGUUUAAGUCAGUUGUGAAAGUUUGCGGCUCAACCGUAAAAUUGCAGUUGAUACUGGAUAUCUUGAGUGCAGUUGAGGCAGGCGGAAUUCGUGGUGUAGCGGUGAAAUGCUUAGAUAUCACGAAGAACUCCGAUUGCGAAGGCAGCCUGCUAAGCUGCAACUGACAUUGAGGCUCGAAAGUGUGGGUAUCAAACAGGAUUAGAUACCCUGGUAGUCCACACGGUAAACGAUGAAUACUCGCUGUUUGCGAUAUACGGCAAGCGGCCAAGCGAAAGCGUUAAGUAUUCCACCUGGGGAGUACGCCGGCAACGGUGAAACUCAAAGGAAUUGACGGGGGCCCGCACAAGCGGAGGAACAUGUGGUUUAAUUCGAUGAUACGCGAGGAACCUUACCCGGGCUUAAAUUGCAGAUGAAUUACGGUGAAAGCCGUAAGCCGCAAGGCAUCUGUGAAGGUGCUGCAUGGUUGUCGUCAGCUCGUGCCGUGAGGUGUCGGCUUAAGUGCCAUAACGAGCGCAACCCUUGUUGUCAGUUACUAACAGGUUCUGCUGAGGACUCUGACAAGACUGCCAUCGUAAGAUGUGAGGAAGGUGGGGAUGACGUCAAAUCAGCACGGCCCUUACGUCCGGGGCUACACACGUGUUACAAUGGGGGGUACAGAGGGCCGCUACCACGCGAGUGGAUGCCAAUCCCAAAAACCUCUCUCAGUUCGGACUGGAGUCUGCAACCCGACUCCACGAAGCUGGAUUCGCUAGUAAUCGCGCAUCAGCCACGGCGCGGUGAAUACGUUCCCGGGCCUUGUACACACCGCCCGUCAAGCCAUGGGAGCCGGGGGUACCUGAAGUGCGUAACCGCGAGGAGCGCCCUAGGGUAAAACUGGUGACUGGGGCUAAG